CUUAGGAGCACCGCAGAAGUCGGAUGAGAUACAAGCUAGGUCAGCUUGGCUGGAAUAGCACCAUGGAAGCAUCUCUCCCAGUGGUGAAAUCCUCCGCGGUUUGCCACCGGUUCACUUCCUGCACAUGCGCGGUGUGUGUCAAACGCGCACUGCACGUGUGCAUGGGCCAAACGCAUGCUGCACACACAUGCAUACUGCACACCAAACACACGCUGUGCACGGAAAAAGGAGGCUUAAGAAGGACGGUGGUGGGUGCUAACUUCCUACAAGAGUUAAGAAACUCAUAUAAGGCUAUCAUUAUGCGAUGAGGAAGCACAAUCCUUGCCGAAGGAUGAGGACAGCCAAGGACUAAAUGGAGCAACCCACACAGUGGAAAGACCAGUUGGGAACGGACCCAAACCACCAAGCGAGAGAAAAGAACAGGCAAAACGUUAUGAUUAAUAUGCCAGCUGGUUUUAAGUAAAUUACAGCCAAUAUUUUGCCUCAUCUUCCUCGUGUGUGUGGUUUUUUUUGUUUUUGUUUUUUAAAAAGGAGGGAGCAUUUAAUUGUGCCAAGAUGUGUGCCACCACAUAAACUGGGCAUGCUGAGCUCCAGAAGGCGCAGACGCCUCUGUGCAACCAGCUGCAUCGAAAACGCAACAUGCAACUUCGCAGCGGCAAACUGGGGUUCAAUAAAACAAGGCGACAGGGAAGCCAGCAGGGUUGGGAAGAGGUAAAAUUUAACGGAGAAAAAUAGAGAUUGAACAGAGAAUCUCUGCGUGGAUUCCAAAAGAAGGAUUUUUUCCCCCCUAUGUGAAUUCAUUGUUCGUUUGUUCUCCAGAUCUCCAUGCCAGAAAUCGUGGGGAAAAGAUCAUCUGAUGAACAGGCCUAUCUUGUGUCAGUGGGUCUUAUCUGGAUUGCCAGAUAAUAUUUCUUCUUCAUAGAAUAGAAUGGAAUGGAAUGGAAUGGAAUGGAAUGGAAUGGAAUGGAAUAGAAUUUUUUAUUGGCCAAGUAUGAUUAGGCACACAAGGAACUUGUCUUGGUGCAUAUGCUCUUAGUGUACAUAAAAGAAAAGAUACCUUCAUCAAGGUACAACACUUACAACACUUAAUGAUAGUCAUAGGGUACAAAUAAGCAAUCAGAAAACAAUAUCAAUGUCAAUAUAAAUUAUAAGGAUACAAGCAACAAAGUUACAGUCAUACAGUCAUAAGUGAAAGGAGACGGGUGAUGGGAAGAUUAAUAGUAGUGCAGAUUUAGUAAAUCGUUUGACAGUGUUGAGGGAAUUAUUUGUUUAGAAGAGUGAUGGCAUUCGGGAAGAAACUGUUCUUGUGUCCAGUUGCUCUGGUGUGCAGUUCUCUAUAAUGUCGUUUUGAAGGUAGGAGUUGAAAAAACUUAUGUCCAGGAUGUGAGGGGGCUGUAAAUAUUUUCACAGCCCUCUUUUUGACUCCUGCUGUAUACAGGUCCUCAAUGGAAGGCAGGUUGGAAGCCAUUGUUUUUUCUGGAGUUUUAAUUAUCCUCUGAAGUCUGUGUCUGUCUUGUUGGGUUGCAGAAUCAAACCAGACAGGUAUAGAGGUGCAGAUGACAGAUUCAAUAAUUUCUCUGUAGAGCUGUAUCAACAGCUCCUUGGGCAGUUUGAGCUUUCUGAGUUGGUGCAAAAAGAACAUUCUUUGUUGUGCCUUUUUGAUGGCUUUCUGAUGUUAGGUGUCCAUUUUAGAUCUUGCAAUAUGGUAGAACCUAAAAAUUUGAAGGUCUCUACUGUUGAUAUUGUCUUGUCUAAUAUUGUAAGAGGUGGAAGUACGGAAGGUUUUCUCCUAAAGUCUACCACCAUUUCUAUGGUUUUGAGUGUGUUCAGUUCCAGAUUGUUCCGGUCACACCAUGAGGUGGUUCAACCUCCUGUCUGUAUUCUUCCUACUUUAUUUGUUAGUU
This is a long non-coding RNA of Ahaetulla prasina, 1904 nucleotides long. RefSeq lists it as uncharacterized. The transcript is spliced from 3 exons. NCBI's taxonomy places the organism in Eukaryota, Metazoa, Chordata, Lepidosauria, Squamata, Colubridae. The record is from RefSeq and is a predicted model, not a curated record.